Molecule: ribosomal RNA, 450 nt
Filed under: uncultured bacterium
Lineage: Bacteria
Description: partial 16S ribosomal RNA
Rfam family: Bacterial small subunit ribosomal RNA
Source: RNAcentral
GUGGGGAAUUUUGGACAAUGGGCGCAAGCCUGAUCCAGCAAUGCCGCGUGCAGGAAGAAGGCCUUCGGGUUGUAAACUGCUUUUGUACGGAACGAAACGGUCCGGGUUAAUACCCUGGGCUAAUGACGGUACCGUAAGAAUAAGCACCGGCUAACUACGUGCCAGCAGCCGCGGUAAUACGUAGGGUGCAAGCGUUAAUCGGAAUUACUGGGCGUAAAGCGUGCGCAGGCGGUUUUGUAAGACAGGCGUGAAAUCCCCGGGCUCAACCUGGGGAUUGCGCUUGUGACUGAAGGGCUGGAGUGCGGCAGAGGGGGAUGGAAUUCCGCGUGUAGCAGUGAAAUGCGUAGAUAUGCGGAGGAACACCGAUGGCGAAGGCAAUCCCCUGGGCCUGCACUGACGCUCAUGCACGAAAGCGUGGGGAGCAAACAGGAUUAGAUACCCUUGUAGUCC